RNAcentral lists this ribosomal RNA (505 nucleotides) under uncultured bacterium. Its description in RNAcentral is "partial 16S ribosomal RNA". It matches the Rfam family "Bacterial small subunit ribosomal RNA", at positions 28 to 507 of the family's 1533-position model. The record is from RNAcentral.
GACGAACGCUGGCGGCGUGCCUAAUACAUGCAAGUCGAACGCACAGUUUAUACCGUAGCUUGCUACACCAUAAACUGUGAGUUGCGAACGGGUGAGUAACGCGUAGGUAACCUGCCUGGUAGCGGGGGAUAACUAUUGGAAACGAUAGCUAAUACCGCAUAAUAUUGAUUAUUGCAUGAUAAUUGAUUGAAAGAUGCUAUUGCAUCACUACCAGAUGGACCUGCGUUGUAUUAGCUAGUAGGUGAGGUAACGGCUCACCUAGGCGACGAUACAUAGCCGACCUGAGAGAGUGAUCGGCCACACUGGGACUGAGACACGGCCCAGACUCCUACGGGAGGCAGCAGUAGGGAAUCUUCGGCAAUGGACGAAAGUCUGACCGAGCAACGCCGCGUGAGUGAAGAAGGUUUUCGGAUCGUAAAGCUCUGUUGUAAGAGAAGAACGGGUGUGAGAGUGGAAAGUUCACACUGUGACGGUAUCUUACCAGAAAGGGACGGCUAACUACGUG